RNAcentral lists this ribosomal RNA (433 nucleotides) under uncultured bacterium. RNAcentral describes it as "bacterial SSU rRNA". It matches the Rfam family "Bacterial small subunit ribosomal RNA", at positions 917 to 1350 of the family's 1533-position model. The record is from RNAcentral.
GGGCCCGCACAAGCGGUGGAGUAUGUGGUUUAAUUCGAUGCAACGCGAAGAACCUUACCAGGGCUUGACAUCCUGCGAACCUCUGGGAAACCGGAGGGUGCCUUCGGGAACGCAGUGACAGGUGGUGCAUGGCUGUCGUCAGCUCGUGUCGUGAGAUGUUGGGUUAAGUCCCGCAACGAGCGCAACCCUCACUUUUUAGUUGCCAUCAUUUAGUUGGGCACUCUGAAAGAACUGCCAGUGAUAAGCUGGAGGAAGGUGGGGAUGACGUCAAGUCCUCAUGGCCCUUACGUGUUGGGCUACACACGUGCUACAAUGCUACGGACAAAGAGCAGCUAACUCGCGAGAGUACGCAAAUCUCAUAAACCGUGGCUCAGUUCAGAUCGUAGGCUGCAACUCGCCUACGUGAAGGAGGAAUCGCUAGUAAUCGCAGGUC